Molecule: long non-coding RNA, 1230 nt
Organism: Triplophysa dalaica
Lineage: Eukaryota; Metazoa; Chordata; Actinopteri; Cypriniformes; Nemacheilidae
Exons: 3
Source: RefSeq, a predicted model, not a curated record
ACAGCUUGAGCCCUUUAGCACUCCACGAAACUUCUUCAGAUCCUGAAGAACAGUGACUCAUCUAUAUAGACUUGGUCGACAUCGUGUUAAAGCUGGAAGUGCGGCUUGGAGUUGCACGGCCUCAGCCAGUUUGGUCUACAUACAAUCACUUUUCCCAUUCAACAGAGCAAGAUACAUAGAAAAACUGAGCCGUGUUGAGGGGAAGAGUCGACCCAAACAAAUGGCCGGAGGUUCCAAAGCAAUUGUUCUGACAGGAACUCAAAUCAUGUUACGAAGUGAUCUACAUACGCCGGGGUGCGGUUACACGAGGCGUUUCAGUCAGAUGGAGCUACAGACAUCUGCAUGAGGAGAACCUGACGUUGACUGCAGUGUUUCCUUGGAGCUUAACCACCUGAGAACAUGACCAAAUCUACAAACCUUAAAGUGUCUUUAUACGCCGUAAAAUGUUGAUGCUAGAAUUUACAAAUAAGUUGUGAAGUUGCCAAAGUUGUUACAUUUGUAUUUCCUCAGCUCUUCGAGUGAAUAUACGUCCAGCGGCAUCUUGUAAUCCCGUCCCCCUGCGGGAGCCUACGGACUGACUGACCAUCCUAACCUCAUCUCAGGCAGUUCCUGUGGAGUAGCUAUACAAAUAAAUAACAAAACUAAUCUGCCACAUGUGGGAAAAUAAAACUGGCAUAAUUGGAUACUUUCAUUGUUUGUGAAAAGCGAGGGGAUUGAUUUUGACUCUUCAUUUCCUUCAUGCGGCAAUUACGCAGACAUUUUUUUCAGUCCAGAAAAAUCACAAUCUCAGUUAAAGACGAUGGCAUUUGAUCACCAAGUUACUGCUACUACAGACACUAUUGAGUCAGCUAACUGCUCAUUUAAGGUGUCGCAUCAGCUUGUUAUUGUCGCAAGAAGAAAUAAAAGUGGUGCAAACUCUUGCAACGCCAAGACGUUAGUUUCUGUUCAGAUGAGGUGAAGGUCAAUUUUUAAAGCAUAUUGUACAACACUUUAAACUGCCCAUGUGUGGUGUGACUACAGAGCAUUUAGUUUACAGAAGCUGCAAGUAGAUUAUAAUGAUGUAAUGAGAAUCUUACUAAUGAUAUAGAUGUCAUAGUGUAGUGAAAUGUUUGAGUGUAAGAGUAAUCACUUUAUAAAGCACUGCUAAGAAAUCUAAUGUAUAGUUUUAUCCAUAGGCUCAAUGCUUCUAUAAAUGAAACUAUUGUGGGUCAAAUAUAUGUGUCAGUCAAG